UUCCCACCCCUACCCCUUGCAUGUGCACAGUCACCAAUGCCCAUGUAGCCCCUGAAGUCCUACCCUUCUGGAAAAUUUAGAGUGAGGGCAAAGGUGGGAAGGCAGGACGGCACUUGUCAGAAAGAGGGGCAAGGAAGUGGAGUGGGCAGUAUCUAUUUCUUUUUGUUUCCUUUUCUUUAAAAAUCUGCAUGCUUCAGAAAAUUAUAAAUUCUAACUUUUCAAUUUUGAAGGAAAUGCUGGCCGGUGGCCAUGGCGCACCUGCAAUCCCAGCACUUUGGGAGGCCGAGGUGGGCGGAUCGGUUGAGGCCAGGAGUUCGAGACCAGCCUGGCCAACAUGGACUCUGGUGGAAAAGGAGCUCUGCCCUGUACAGUCUCCUAAACAGAUGACAUUAGCUGGACUAUGAAUAGGCCAACAGAACUUCUUUGCCCCUUCUAGCUUCAGGUCGAGGCACUAAGGAUGCAGCAGGAAACAGCACAGACAAGGGCCCUGUUGUCAAAGACCUUCCACUAUACUGGGUAAUGUUGGGACUCAGAAACUGAUACCCCAAGAUAUGGUGCUUUGACAUGCUGAACUAAAAAGGAAGCCUCAACAUCCGUCUGACCUUUCCCACGCACUUCCUGACUCUCAAUCCUCUGUGUCUCCCAAAGCACAGGAUGAAGUUGUUUUCUGAAGUUCCCUUAUUUUCCUAAAGUCUAAACUCAUUAAAGAAGAAAACAAUUA
Molecule: non-coding RNA, 721 nt
Organism: Callithrix jacchus (white-tufted-ear marmoset)
Lineage: Eukaryota; Metazoa; Chordata; Mammalia; Primates; Cebidae
Source: RefSeq, a predicted model, not a curated record